This is a long non-coding RNA of Rhododendron vialii, 793 nucleotides long. RefSeq lists it as uncharacterized. Lineage: Eukaryota; Viridiplantae; Streptophyta; Magnoliopsida; Ericales; Ericaceae. The transcript is spliced from 3 exons. The record is from RefSeq and is a predicted model, not a curated record.
AUGGUAAAAUGAGUAGUUUACGAAUAACUUUGGCAUAGAAAAUAGUCAUAUACACAUAAAGAAAUUGGGGGAGUACCCUUUACACAAUAGAGUAAAUGUACUAGCUAAUAUUUCAACCUCACAUGGUGUAAAAGUUUGAAUUUUUCGAAUUGCAGAGUAUGGUCUCGGAAAUGAGAUGUCAACUAAUGGGGAUGUUUACAGUUAUGGAAUCUUGUUGUUGGAGAUGAUAACAAGGAAGAGACCUACUGACAAAAUGUUUGAGGCAGACCAUAAUCUUCAUAAGUUUGCAAGGAUUGCCUUGCCUGAACGUGUGAUAGAGAUCGUAGACCCUAUGCUCUUAACCGAGGAGACAAAUAGCAGCAAAAUGAUGGAAAAUCUGAUCUCCCUCAUCAAGAUAGGAUUGGCAUGCUCUAUAGAGUCCCCAAAAGACAGAAUGAACAUAAGUACUGCGCUCCAUGAGCUUCAUCUAGUCAAGAACAAUAUUUUGCAGGUCCAAACAUCGGGGACCCGUAGCUCGCACGUUUGACAAAUUUGCUCGGCACGCUCACGGUAAUUUUUGAUUUUGUUGAACACGCUUGAUGGCCGAAGAAGCCUGAAUUUUGUUUUGUUUUAAUUAUGUAGUAGCAUCGUGUGUACUUGUAAUUAAGACACUUGUAUCUUUUGUUGAUGGUUGUACUGGACUUGUGGCCAAGACCGUGGUUAUGCUUAUGUUUAAUUCAGGAUGUUUGUAAUAACUUUAACCUAUCUUACACUUAGCUCUGGUUAAUUUAUCAAGCUUCCGCAUUUUCUGUUA